Molecule: transfer RNA, 73 nt
Filed under: Merluccius polli (Benguela hake)
Lineage: Eukaryota; Metazoa; Chordata; Actinopteri; Gadiformes; Merlucciidae
Rfam family: tRNA
About the family: Transfer RNA (tRNA) molecules are approximately 80 nucleotides in length. Their secondary structure includes four short double-helical elements and three loops (D, anti-codon, and T loops). Further hydrogen bonds mediate the characteristic L-shaped molecular structure. tRNAs have two regions of fundamental functional importance: the anti-codon, which is responsible for specific mRNA codon recognition, and the 3' end, to which the tRNAs corresponding amino acid is attached (by aminoacyl-tRNA synthetases). tRNAs cope with the degeneracy of the genetic code in two manners: having more than one tRNA (with a specific anti-codon) for a particular amino acid; and 'wobble' base-pairing, i.e. permitting non-standard base-pairing at the 3rd anti-codon position.
Source: Rfam by way of RNAcentral
GGGGAUUUAGCUCAAAUGGUAGAGCGCUCGCUUAGCAUGCGAGAGGUAGCGGCAUCGAUGCCCGCAUUCACCA